This 374-nucleotide ribosomal RNA is filed under the name uncultured organism. RNAcentral's name for it is "bacterial SSU rRNA". It matches the Rfam family "Bacterial small subunit ribosomal RNA", at positions 526 to 898 of the family's 1533-position model. The record is from RNAcentral.
CGAAGGGUGCAAACGUUGCUCGGAAUCAUUGGGCGUAAAGCGCACGUAGGCGGCUUCGCAAGUCGGAUGUGAAAUCCCGUGGCUCAACCAUGGACGUGCAUUCGAAACUGCGAAGCUUGAGUAUGGAAGAGGGUCGCGGAAUUCCCGGUGUAGAGGUGAAAUUCGUAGAUAUCGGGAGGAACACCAGUGGCGAAGGCGGCGACCUGGGCCAAUACUGACGCUGAGGUGCGAAAGCGUGGGAGCAAACAGGUUAGAUACCCUGGUAGUCCACGCCGUAAACGAUGAGCGCUAGGUGCUUUGGGUAUUCGACCCCCGAGGUGCCGAAGCUAACGCGUUAAGCGCUCCGCCGUGGGGAGUACGGCCGCAAGGACUAA